AGUGAACGCUGGCGGCAGGCCUAAUACAUGCAAGUCGAACGGCAGCACAGCAGAGCUUGCUCUGUGGGUGGCGAGUGGCGGACGGGUGAGGAAUACAUGGGAAUCUGCCCAGUCGUGGGGGAUAACGUAUGGAAACGUACGCUAAUACCGCAUGCGCCCUACGGGGGAAAGUCGGGGACCGCAAGGCCUGACGCGAUUGGAUGAGCCCAUGUUCGAUUAGCUGGUUGGCGGGGUAAAGGCCCACCAAGGCGACGAUCGAUAGCUGGUCUGAGAGGAUGAUCAGCCACACUGGAACUGAGACACGGUCCAGACUCCUACGGGAGGCAGCAGUAGGGAAUAUUGGACAAUGGGGGCAACCCUGAUCCAGCCAUGCCGCGUGAGUGAAGAAGGCCCUCGGGUUGUAAACUGCUUUUAUACAAGAGAAAACCCUGGUACGUGUACCAGGUUGAUAGUAUUGUAAGAAUAAGCAUCGGCUAACUUCGUGCC
This 486-nucleotide ribosomal RNA is filed under the name uncultured bacterium. Its description in RNAcentral is "bacterial SSU rRNA". It matches the Rfam family "Bacterial small subunit ribosomal RNA", at positions 29 to 509 of the family's 1533-position model. The record is from RNAcentral.